UAUCCGUGGGUUCACUGCAUCACGCACAAAACCUUUCGCCUUUUACUAAAGAUAUCCGUGCAGAGGACCGCUAUGAUCGGUAUAUAACAAUUUAUCGUUGCCUCGUCUUCGGACGAGGCU
Strongylocentrotus purpuratus (purple sea urchin) is the source of this 120-nucleotide small nuclear RNA. RefSeq annotates it as U5 spliceosomal RNA. The record is from RefSeq and is a predicted model, not a curated record. The transcript has a single exon. Lineage: Eukaryota; Metazoa; Echinodermata; Echinoidea; Camarodonta; Strongylocentrotidae.